UACAGAGACUGCAAGCGUUUAUUCGGAUUCACUGGGCGUAAAGGGCGCGUAGGCGGCACAGCAAGUCGGGAGUGAAAGCCCGGGGCUCAACCCCGGAACGGCUUUCGAAACUGCUGAGCUAGAGUACAGAAGGGGCAACCGGAAUUCCCAGUGUAGCGGUGAAAUGCGUAGAUAUUGGGAAGAACACCUGAGGCGAAGGCGGGUUGCUGGGCCGACACUGACGCUGAGGCGCGAAAGCCAGGGGAGCAAACGGG
RNAcentral lists this ribosomal RNA (254 nucleotides) under uncultured bacterium. RNAcentral describes it as "partial 16S ribosomal RNA". It matches the Rfam family "Bacterial small subunit ribosomal RNA", at positions 524 to 776 of the family's 1533-position model. The record is from RNAcentral.